Tyto alba (common barn owl) is the source of this 1190-nucleotide long non-coding RNA. RefSeq lists it as uncharacterized. Lineage: Eukaryota; Metazoa; Chordata; Aves; Strigiformes; Tytonidae. The transcript has 4 exons. The record is from RefSeq and is a predicted model, not a curated record.
CCCGUGCCCGCCAUGUUCCCCUCAGCGCUCCUACCAGAAUGUCGCCUCUCCUCGAGCAAACGGCCCCUUCCCGCCGCCUGCAAGGUCAUAUGGAGCUGUUGAGAAAUCUCCAAAGGAGUCUGAAGUUGCAGAGGGUCAGAAAAUAAGAUCAAAGAAGACUAAUCAAGAUCAUCAUCAGUUUUGUGAUCUGGGUGUCUGUUUAUUAGAAACUGGACUGAAAUAAACAAGGCAAACGUAAGCAUUAUUUUAUAGAAGACAAGUAAGUUAGAGACAAGAAAGACACGUUCAUCAUUAAAAGCUGCUCCACAGCGUGAAUUUCUUCACUCUGUAAGUCACUCACAAAUAUCAUGCUUUUUUCGUGGGGUUGGAGGGGGGCAGGAGAAGGGGAAGCAAGAUUUUUCCGUGAGACAUUCUGAGGCUGGGAACAAAACACUCAGAAGUUCCUUGCACACAGUCUGCUUUGCACAGUAAACCAGUGAAGCUUAAUGUAUACUAUAUGAAAUGUUCUGUGGAGAUGAGCAACAAGUUACAAAUUUUUUUUCCUAUCUGUAAUGCAGACAUCAAGUUUCCAACACCGUUUGUGCUCAGGUCAUGUGAAAUGUUCUGUCCUGAGUACCUGAAUCCUCAGAGGACUGCAUGUGAACUUGCAUAACUGUGAGAAGUGUCACGAUGAUCAAACACGUAAGAGAUAGAAUUUUCAAAUAUAUAGAUAUAUAUGCCUACAAAAAUAUACAGAAAUCUAGCAAUAUUUGCAGGAUGCAAUUUUUGGGGGUAGUUUCCCAGUAUACUUUCAUUCCAUAACAUACAGGCUGGAUGCAUUGCCACAAAGCCAUGUUGGCUGAGCAUUCCACGCAGAAACCACCCGCCUGCCAAAGCUCUACUUUGACAGACAGCACCUACAAUUUGUCUGACAAACAAGCAAACCACCUAAACUUAACGUUACCGAGCAGAAUCCUAUGCAACGAUUAAACUGGUUGCGAGGGGUUCAGUGCACAUCGGAAUUAAAAUGUUUCAUGUGGAAUAAGGAAGGGGGUAACACCAUGGGCCUCGGGGGCUGUGAGGCCCACACCUCGUACUUCUCACAGGCCGGCCCACAAACCCUCUCCGACGGGGGGCAAAACGAAAGCAGCCGCUUUCUGGGGUCUCCGAGAGCCACUCGCCCUGAGGGACAAGUUGUAUUUGUCAAGACA